GUGCUCGCUUUGGCAGCACAUAUACUAAAGUUGCAACGGUACAGAGAAGAUUAGCAUGGCCCCUGCACAAGGAUGACAGGUAAAUUCGUGGUGUUCCAAAUUUUUUU
Molecule: small nuclear RNA, 107 nt
Filed under: Physeter macrocephalus (sperm whale)
Lineage: Eukaryota; Metazoa; Chordata; Mammalia; Artiodactyla; Physeteridae
Source: RNAcentral